GCCCGUUUAGCUCAGUAGGCAGAGCGUUCGUCUCAUAAUGAAAGUAUAGUAUGUAGAGAAAGCGAAAGGCCGUCAGUUCGAUCCUGACAGUGGGCA
This 96-nucleotide transfer RNA is filed under the name Fragilariopsis cylindrus CCMP1102. It matches the Rfam family "tRNA". Rfam says of the family: Transfer RNA (tRNA) molecules are approximately 80 nucleotides in length. Their secondary structure includes four short double-helical elements and three loops (D, anti-codon, and T loops). Further hydrogen bonds mediate the characteristic L-shaped molecular structure. tRNAs have two regions of fundamental functional importance: the anti-codon, which is responsible for specific mRNA codon recognition, and the 3' end, to which the tRNAs corresponding amino acid is attached (by aminoacyl-tRNA synthetases). tRNAs cope with the degeneracy of the genetic code in two manners: having more than one tRNA (with a specific anti-codon) for a particular amino acid; and 'wobble' base-pairing, i.e. permitting non-standard base-pairing at the 3rd anti-codon position. The record is from Rfam by way of RNAcentral. Lineage: Eukaryota; Bacillariophyta; Bacillariophyceae; Bacillariales; Bacillariaceae.